GAUCCGCCGCCGGCGCCGCUGCUGGACACGAGCGAGCUGAAGAAGUGGUCCCUGUACCGCGCGCUCAUCGCCGAGUUCAUGGCCACCCUCAUCUUCCUCUACGUGAGCAUCGCCACCGUCAUCGGGUACAAGAACCAGUCCAAGGCCGAAUCGUGCACCGGCGUCGGCGCCCUCGGCAUCGCCUGGUCCUUCGGCGCCACCAUCUUCAUCCUCGUCUACUGCACCGGCGGCAUCUCAGGUAUAAUAUGCAUACAUGCAUGCCAUACAUACACGUGGUCUAGCUAGCUAUAUAUGAAAUGAAACGAAGAAGAAGAAGAAGACGAAUUGAUUGAUUGAUGAGCGGCAAGCAUAUAGUUAAUUAUCAUACGUACACAGGCGGGCACAUCAACCCGGCGGUGACGUUCGGUCUGUUCGUGGGGCGGAAGCUGUCGCUGGUGCGCACGCUGCUGUACAUCGUGGCGCAGUGCCUGGGCGCCAUCUGCGGCGUGGGCAUCGUCAAGGGGAUCAUGAAGGUGCCCUACAACUCCCUCGGCGGCGGCGCCAACGCGGUGGCCACGGGCCCCUCCGACGGGGUGCUCACGGGUUACUCCGUCGGCAGCGCCCUGGCCGCCGAGAUCGUCGGCACCUUCAUCCUCGUGUACACCGUCUUCUCCGCCACCGACCCCAAGCGCACGGCGCGCGACUCCUUCAUCCCCGUACGUACGGCGACCGCCUCUCGCGCGCGCGCGGCUCCCCUGGACCGACCUCCACGCACGCCUGCUUUCCCCUGCUACAA
RNAcentral lists this long non-coding RNA (775 nucleotides) under Sorghum bicolor (sorghum). Its description in RNAcentral is "long non-coding RNA (SBIC_LNC003725)". The record is from RNAcentral. Lineage: Eukaryota; Viridiplantae; Streptophyta; Magnoliopsida; Poales; Poaceae.